RNAcentral lists this long non-coding RNA (1873 nucleotides) under Hermetia illucens (black soldier fly). RNAcentral describes it as "uncharacterized LOC119648862". Lineage: Eukaryota; Metazoa; Arthropoda; Insecta; Diptera; Stratiomyidae. The record is from RNAcentral.
GCUUCAUUCUGCUGAAUUGUUGGUAAGACUUGCGCGCCUCGUGCGGUUGCUCUCUGUACUUCUCGAGUUCACAGAGCUGUUGGUUCUUCCAGACUUCCUUUUUCUAUCUGUGAAGCCGCUUCAUCACUCAACGGAGUUUGUGAUAGGUUUCUGCGCGUACCCGCAUUCCUAGAGUGCGCAGCAUUUUUUCGUUCCGUUGCUAGCUUCCAUUCAUUAUCCUUCCGACUUUUUUUUUGCAACUGCGACCAAGUAUGUAUGUGCCCGUACCGACGAUAACGUUCUUCAAGAGGUUGUGAGGAUCAUUGGUCGAUGCUUCAUCUCCAGGACCUCUAUAACUGCGGUUAUUGCGGCAUUUAUUUCCCUCAUAGGUGUUACGAAGGUCUCUGUUAUGGAUGGCUGUAGUGUUCACUCUCGCCUGAUAGUCAGAGCGGAUCUAGGUGGUGUUGUUAUUCGAGCUCGAAGCCCUACACCAAUGAGAUAGUGAUCCGAGUCUAUAUUGGCUCCAAUAUAUAUUCUGACAUUCACCAAGGAUGAGAGAUGACAGUGUUCGAUUAGUACGUGGUUAAUUUGGUUGAAAGUGUGGACCGCUUCCGCGCAAAUCAAAUACUUCCAACAACCAUUUCAUGGGACAUUGCUGGUUGAAUUUGCAAGCUAUGGAAACCGACUUAUCGCUUGAAUACUUGACUGUUAAAAUGUUAGAUUAUAAUUUUGAUAUUAUACGUGGGAGAAGUUUCGACAGUUCUUUCUAUUAUCUCCUACUCUGCAGUCUCCUUGGUAAGGACGUGAACGUUAAUGAGGCUUAUAUUUUGAAAUUUGCCUCCCAAACGGAGAGUGUAUAAUCGUUCGCUUAUGUUCAAUGUUUUUCAAUGCCAAUAACAGCAGGUUUAAUUUAUUGACUGACUAGGAAACUUCCGAGCAUAUGGCUGACUGGAUGACCACUAUAAUAUAUGAUGUAGUGGCUCUUCUCUGCAAAACCGGUCCCUGUCCAGUGCAUCUCUUGUAACGCUUUAACGUCAGCCUCAUAUUGGGACAGGAUAUCGGCUAGUUGCUUGACAGCUACUUUUCUGUACAGAUCCAUCGUUGUAAAAUCCGGCCAGCCCGAGGCUCACUUCACAGCUCCGUAAAUUUGGUUAUCGUUGAAGGGUUGUAUCCAACCCCCAAUCUGGAGGACCAGUUGUUUCUCGUUAAAAAACAACUUCCCGCGAUCACCAUGUGGAGAUGGAGAUAGAGUUUGGUAGUAGAGUUAUUGGUGUUAGUUCAGCAGGCGUUUCCCAGGUUUUAUGUUUCAUCGUAUGCACCAGGCCACGUUUCGCCCUGUAUUUAAAAUUUCUGAUUUCGGUUAUUCUUCGAAAAAAAGAUGACAACAAAUUUACAAAUAUCUAACGGAAUGAGGUUUUGUUUAUAUAAAUGCUACACUUGCAACAAGCGUCGCCGGGGGGAAAUAACUCCGAAGGCCCAUAUUUCCAGAGACUCGUGAAGAUGAUGAACUGCACCUCUUACGUCCUCAUGUUUUCGAUUACAAAACUGUCUUAGAGAUGAGAAACCUGGACACCAGUACCUUAAACGAUGUAGACAAAAACAAGGUAGAUAUGGAUAAGUCCACUUCUCUUUGUGAAAAUAUUGUAACAACUGUCAUCAGGCAGCAGGCGGAAAUAGUAAAAUGUAGUGCUCGGAAACAUUACUAUAUUUCAGCAUCAUUGGGAAGUGAUAGAGGUGUAAAUUUGAAAAUGUUUUAAUUAACUUAUCUUAAGAGUUCAGUUACUAAAACUUAUAGAUAUAUUAUCCCAGCAAUUUAGGAUGAAUGAACAUUUGAAUGAAUAGGAUGCUGCAAACUUGCUUUGCAUUUAUUUUCGUUAAUGUCCAUAUCUAAUCA